This 433-nucleotide ribosomal RNA is filed under the name Tausonia pullulans. RNAcentral's name for it is "eukaryotic LSU rRNA". It matches the Rfam family "Eukaryotic large subunit ribosomal RNA", at positions 208 to 628 of the family's 3401-position model. Lineage: Eukaryota; Fungi; Basidiomycota; Tremellomycetes; Cystofilobasidiales; Mrakiaceae. The record is from RNAcentral.
AGGGGUGAGAAUCCCGUCCUUGACACAGAUCUCCAGUGCUUUGUGAUGCGCUCUCAAAGAGUCGAGUUGUUUGGGAAUGCAGCUCAAAAUGGGUGGUAAAUUCCAUCUAAAGCUAAAUAUUGGCGAGAAACCGAUAGCGAACAAGUACCGUGAGGGAAAGAUGAAAAGCACUUUGGAAAGAGAGUUAAACAGUACGUGAAAUUGUUGAAAGGGAAACGAUUGAAGUCAGUCAUGCUUUCCGAGACUCAGCCGGUUCUGCCGGUGUACUUCUCGGUUUGCAGGCCAGCAUCAGUUUUUGGGCGGUGGAAAAGGUUGGCGGGAAUGUGGCAUCCUCGGAUGUGUUAUAGCCCGCUUUCGAAUACAUCGCCCGGGACUGAGGAACGCAGACGCCUCUUGUAGGUCGGGCUUCGGACACGUCCGUGCUUGGAUGCUG